Paramuricea clavata is the source of this 413-nucleotide non-coding RNA. NCBI's taxonomy places the organism in Eukaryota, Metazoa, Cnidaria, Anthozoa, Malacalcyonacea, Plexauridae. The record is from the annotation of a GenBank genome assembly.
GCGAUUCUUAUGCCUUUGUCUCUUCUUUCUCUGGUUUCUGCUUUCAAGCUCUCUUCAGUGUACACGUCAAAAACAACAUCAAAUCUUGUAAUCGUGCCUUCAGAAUUUAAGAUGAAUGGCCAAAAUAUGUUUUUGCUGUACUCUCCAUACGUCUUAGCAGCUGAAGAUCUGAUCAUUUGUACAACAGCAACCCUAUCAAACACUUUUGCUGUCAAAUGAAAACUUUGACAGUGAAAAAGUUGAUCAGGAUGGGAUUUUUUUGUUAUGAAGAUAUAUAGAGAGCGAAGCGGCGUGCAUAGUUCGCUUUCAUAUUCGAAAUCUAUAGUCUCACUUCUAAAAUCACUUCUAAAUCACAGUUAUUGGAGUCGCGAUAUAGACAGUUCAAAAUCACUUCUAAGGGAUAAUACAUUGAC